GGGAAAGUUGUGGCGCAGAGGUUUGGACAAGGCGAGCCAGCACAUGAAACUUGGGCGGAAAAGGUGCAUCAUCCCAGUGAAACUUCACCUGCUACAGUCCUGGGUCACAYCCAACACAGCGCCAGAACUGAGAGCCCACUUGCCCACCUCCAUACCUCAUGAAUGAGUGAAACAACAAAAAAAUUUUAUAAGUUGGAGAUGCUAUCCAUCCAUCCAUCCAUCCAUCCAUCCAUCCAUCCAUCCAUCCAUCCAUCCAUCC
Molecule: long non-coding RNA, 259 nt
Organism: Austrofundulus limnaeus
Lineage: Eukaryota; Metazoa; Chordata; Actinopteri; Cyprinodontiformes; Rivulidae
Exons: 3
Source: RefSeq, a predicted model, not a curated record